RNAcentral lists this ribosomal RNA (720 nucleotides) under uncultured Alphaproteobacteria bacterium. RNAcentral's name for it is "bacterial SSU rRNA". It matches the Rfam family "Bacterial small subunit ribosomal RNA", at positions 118 to 876 of the family's 1533-position model. Lineage: Bacteria; Pseudomonadati; Pseudomonadota; Alphaproteobacteria. The record is from RNAcentral.
UGGGAACGUACCCUUUUCUACGGAAUAGCCUCUGGAAACGGAGAGUAAUACCGUAUGUGCCCUUCGGGGGAAAGAUUUAUCGGUAAAGGAUCAGCCCGCGUUAGAUUAGAUAGUUGGUGGGGUAAUGGCCUACCAAGUCUACGAUCUAUAGCUGGUUUUAGAGGAUGAUCAGCAACACUGGGACUGAGACACGGCCCAGACUCCUACGGGAGGCAGCAGUGGGGAAUCUUAGACAAUGGGCGCAAGCCUGAUCUAGCCAUGCCGCGUGUGUGAUGAAGGCCUUAGGGUCGUAAAGCACUUUCGCCAGGGAUGAUAAUGACAGUACCUGGUAAAGAAACCCCGGCUAACUCCGUGCCAGCAGCCGCGGUAAUACGGAGGGGGUUAGCGUUGUUCGGAAUUACUGGGCGUAAAGCGUACGUAGGCGGAUCAGAAAGUAUGGGGUGAAAUCCCAGGGCUCAACCCUGGAACUGCCUUAUAAACUCCUGGUCUUGAGUUCAAGAGAGGUGAGUGGAAUUCCGAGUGUAGAGGUGAAAUUCGUAGAUAUUCGGAGGAACACCAGUGGCGAAGGCGGCUCACUGGCUCGAUACUGACGCUGAGGUACGAAAGUGUGGGGAGCAAACGGGAUUAGAUACCCUGGUAGUCCACACCGUAAACGAUGAAUGCCAGUCGUCGGGCAGUAUACUGUUCGGUGACACACCUAACGGAUAAGCAUCCGCCUGG